UGGCAUCUAUAUGUAUUUAAAAUGCGCGUGUGAUAUAUAUAGUAUUCGAAACAUUUUGCAGCUCAGCUUAUUUUUCAUUUUAUUCGAUUAAUUUUGAAUGAUUAUUCGACAAUAUCGUAAAUUAUAUAGUUUACAAUAAUCACAUCACAUAUUCAAAAGUUCAAGAAAUUAUGAUCAUCGAUUCUUCGAAUCAUCAUUAACGAAUACGAGGUAUACAUAUGUGUCAAAAGCUUUAACGAACUUUGAUAAACAAUUAUAACAGUUUUACAAACAUGUUUGGAAAAGAAGCUAUCAAACUCGUAACAGAGCUCGAUAUGUAUGAGGAUAUCCGACCGUUUAAUGAGCAAGUAAUGCGACAAGUUUUUGAAGAGAUGCAGACUCUUUACGAGGCCAAUCUGGUGGACAGUAACACUAUACAGAAUGAAGGAAACAAUGAGUUGUUACCAUCAGUGCACUUCCGCCAUACAGCCCUGCUCAGAAAUAAAAGAUGCGUUCUGGCAUAUCUGUAUCAUCGGAUUAGGCGUUUACGGCAAAUGCGUUGGGAAUUGGGCAGCAUUUUGCCAACUGAGAUAACAGCCAACUUGUUGAAUGCAGAAAUGCAAUGGUUUCAAAAUUACAACAAGUCUCUGGCCACUUAUAUGAGAUCGAUUGGAGAUGAUUACGGAUUGAAUCUGACUGUGAACAUGAGUCCUCCAAAGAUGCUCUAUGUCGAAGUGAAAUGCUUAACCGAUUUUGGUAAGCUGGAACUCGAAGACGGCGAGAUUAUUACGCUCAAAAAGAACACAUACCAUCUGCUUCCGAGAGCUACAUGCGAGCCACUUAUCAGACAAGUUAUGAAAUACAGACAAGGCAGUGUGAAUUUCCUGCAGUGAACGAAAGAAAACACAUCGACCGAGGGCAGCAUAAAAAAUUCGGGUUUCUGCAAGCUUGACUUGGAACGCCGUUCGUCAAUAUUUGGCAACGAUAGAUGGCCAAUCAAGCAUUUGAGAUCCGUUGUUUGGAAAAUUGACAUAGAGGAAGCUGUUUUCCCCCAGAUAAUCCGGGCAUUGACGUCGGCGAUAUCCACCUGUGUCUACAAGCACGUACACCAAAAAAUCUUCAUCUUUAUUCGUAAUCGAUUGACCAACUUUUAAUGUAUAGUGGUAUCAAACGAUACAAUCAUACAACACGCUUGUAACAGAAAAAUUUUAAGAAUCUCAACAGUUUUGUCUUUCAAGGAAAGAAGAUCGCGUAUACAUAUUUGGAUUGUGCUGACUAAAAAGUAAUAGGUAACAAAUGAUUUAUUGUCUUAACGGUUUAUUGUGCGGCCUUAAUAAUAAUGGGAAAACCCAUGCGGAAUUUUUGCGGUGGUGAACUCCUUUGUACGCAUCGAGGUCGUAUAUUCGGCGGCGACGAAUCGAUUUCCCGGUAUACGAACAGUAACGACCAUGGAACGUUUACAGCCGUGCAUCGUCGCGGGGCCGUUUCAGAUAGGAAAUGCCGGUGGAAUUUCCGGUGAGUUCGUCGCGUCGAGCCACUUUUACCAAGAGGUGCUACGAAGAAAGUAGCCCGACUGUCACAUGCGGCGAGAAAUGCGAAAGUUACAUCGAUCAACGUGUAAAUCCCGCUUAGCGUCGGUCUGUCGAUCCGUAAGAGAGAGAUGGAAAUCUGCUAAAUAUAAAGAUAUGCGUGCGCACAAGAUCGUAGAAAGUUGAUUUAAUGUUUCUAAUUAACCGAGUUCUGAUUAUAAUUAUAAAAUUCAAUUAUUACGCUUGUAUACUUAACGAUAAUGAUUUCUUAAUUUACGACUAUAAUGAUAAAAUUUACUAUCACAUUUUCAUGUAGUUUCUCCAAUUAAUGUUUAUAAUUGCCAGUUUUGUUUAUUCCAAGCGCAUCAUACAUCAAACAGCAUAAGAGAAUUAGCUUUUUAAAAUUCCGCCUAGCUUUUACGUUAUAUAUUUUUUUCUUUUUCUAAGAAAUAGAUUAAAGUCUAAGUCUUUCCGGACUUUACAAAGGUCGAAAAAUCCGAUGAUUCAUUUAUCGCGAAAGGAUUAUAGAAUGAAUGAGAGAUAAUCUGGUUCAAAAAUCCGUGCACGUCAGUUCCGCAAAACUUUAUCGACAAGAAAUUGCGAAAUUUUACAUCUGAUAAUUUAUAAUCUACCUUGUAAGAUAAAAGACGCGCGUCUUAUUUCGCAAUAUUACUCGAUUUCAAUACAAACAAGUCACAUCGAUUAAAACAGACUUGGAACUAUUUGAGAAAAGCACUCUAUUUUUGAGGUUUCUAAAAGAGUUACCAUGACACUUGACACAGAUGUUACAUAUGUAUCGAUAAGAAUCCACAAUCACGCUCGUGCGCAUCUGCCGUCAUCGCGAGAGAUGCGAUAACGCGCCGGAAUUACUA
Molecule: RNA transcript, 2380 nt
Organism: Formica exsecta
Lineage: Eukaryota; Metazoa; Arthropoda; Insecta; Hymenoptera; Formicidae
Gene name: DNA replication complex GINS protein PSF1-like
Exons: 8
Source: RefSeq, a predicted model, not a curated record